This 490-nucleotide ribosomal RNA is filed under the name uncultured bacterium. RNAcentral describes it as "partial 16S ribosomal RNA". It matches the Rfam family "Bacterial small subunit ribosomal RNA", at positions 30 to 507 of the family's 1533-position model. The record is from RNAcentral.
AUUGAACGCUGGCGGCAGGCCUAACACAUGCAAGUCGAAUGGUAACAGGAAACAGCUUGCUGUUUCGCUAACGAGUGGCGGACGGGUGAGUAAUGUCUGGGAAACUGUCUGAUGGAGGGGGAUAACUACUGGAAACGGUAGCUAAUACCGCAUAACGUCGCAAGACCAAAGAGGGGGACCUUCGGGCCUCUUGCCGUCAGAUGUGCCCAGAUGGGAUUAGCUAGUAGGUGGGGUAACGGCUCACCUAGGCGACGAUCCCUAGCUGGUCUGAGAGGAUGACCAGCCACACUGGAACUGAGACACGGUCCAGACUCCUACGGGAGGCAGCAGUGGGGAAUAUUGCACAAUGGGCGCAAGCCUGAUGCAGCCAUGCCGCGUGUAUGAAGAAGGCCUUCGGGUUGUAAAGUACUUUCAGCGGGGAGGAAGGGAGUAAAGUUAAUACCUUUGCUCAUUGACGUUACCCGCAGAAGAAGCACCGGCUAACUCCGUG